This is a long non-coding RNA of Scophthalmus maximus (turbot), 1396 nucleotides long. RefSeq lists it as uncharacterized. The transcript has 3 exons. Lineage: Eukaryota; Metazoa; Chordata; Actinopteri; Pleuronectiformes; Scophthalmidae. The record is from RefSeq and is a predicted model, not a curated record.
AUAGAACAUGUCCCGGCGUCCUGUGAGGACUUCACAGGCGGCGUUGGGCUGAAGCUUCUCCCAGCGCUUCCUCCAAGAAGGAACAGGACUCCCGACACCAGAGCAGCUGCAGGUCUUGAGCCCCUCCAGAUCUUCCCACAGACCCCGCAACACACCACACCACAUCAGGAAAAAUGAUAAUCAGACUGGGCCGACUGACUCCUGGAUACUUCCGCCUCCUCCAGAGGCAAGUUGCUGGUGAGGUGCAGAUGCAGCCACAAGACCGUGCUGUAAACCAGAUCGCCAUGAUGCUGGCCAUCAUGGGCCUGGGUUUGUCCUACUACAGUGCCAAACAGAUGAUGGAGAAGGUCCAGGUCCGGCCCGCGCCCUGAAGAGACUUGACUACUCUCGAUUGUUGAAAGAGAUGGAUGAGCCAAUGAGAAGUGAAGGAGAUGGAGCGAGGAAGCGGGAACCACAGCAGUGUCUUCAGGGACCGCACUUUUUUCUCACCUCAGUCAUAGUCACACUCGGACACUGAAUUUCUGGUAUCCCUCACUAACCAUGCGCAGAGACUUCAGGGCUUCUGCUAAGUGUUUUCUAUAUUUUCUGUGGUCAGGACCUUUUGAGGGAUCUGUGGCUCACAUGGGGUCGUGGGUGAGACUGAUUUCAUGGACUGGUUUGGGUGGGUGAUCAAAAAGCAGCUGCCUGCCAACUGGGUCUAACAAUUAGUCGUCACAAGGGUACACGCCUGCAAGAUGCUGUCCGGGGGGAGGAGAGGGCCCUUAUGUAAGUGUAAAUUUUUGCCAGUGCUCAAAGCCUGGCCAGAAAAGGUAGAAUAAUAUGAACAGUCAGGCUUUUAAAGGGAAAGCUGGCUGCAAUUGAGAUGUACCUUUGUGUUUAAAUGUUGGCAGGUGGAGAACACGGUUAAAGGGGAUGAAAAUUUGAGGUUACCUAACCCUUUUAGAUUUUAUCUAUUUGUCCUUUCCCUUCACAAGAGAACCUACAGCCCGUGAACAGAUCAGAAGCUGUACUCGCACACUGUCAAUAUAUAUAUACUUGUGAAAUGUAUCUGCCACGUGUCAGGUUGAGAGAUUAUUUGCACAAAACUUGUUUUGAAAUGUUUUUAAAUACUACAAUAGAUCUGCAAAGGGACUUAAAAGCACUACCUUUUUACGUGUUUUUCUCUGCAUUUCACACAGUUUAACAUGAAUUGAUUAGGUCCUGUGAAUUAAGUAGUGUGUUAAGAACCCUUCCUGCAGUAUCGACUACAUGUCAAUGCAAACAUUUAUCUAAACUAAACAUCGCAUGGGUGUGCAGACUUUAAAUCAAAGCAAAAUUCAUCAGUCUCUCUUGUUUUUAUUGAUGAAUGAAUGUAUUACUUUAUUUUGUAAUGAUUUAAUAAAGCUGUGAAUUUCUU